RNAcentral lists this ribosomal RNA (253 nucleotides) under uncultured bacterium. RNAcentral describes it as "partial 16S ribosomal RNA". It matches the Rfam family "Bacterial small subunit ribosomal RNA", at positions 524 to 776 of the family's 1533-position model. The record is from RNAcentral.
UACAGAGGGUGCAAGCGUUAAUCGGAAUUACUGGGCGUAAAGCGUGCGCAGGCGGCUUCUCAAGUCAGGGGUGAAAGCCCAGAGCUCAACUCUGGAAUUGCCUUUGAGACUGUGAGGCUUGAGUACGGGAGAGGUGAGUGGAAUUCCCAGUGUAGAGGUGAAAUUCGUAGAUAUUGGGAAGAACACCGGUGGCGAAGGCGGCUCACUGGCCCGAAACUGACGCUCAUGCACGACAGCGUGGGGAUCAAACAGG